GACAGAGGUGGUACAUUUGAUGGAGAGGUUUACAUAAUCCUGGACUAGGCCGUAUCCUGAGCAGUUGCUGUGGUGGUCAAGGAGGAGUGGAGAGCAUGAGACUGAUCCAUUGACAGACGAGUUCUCGCAUUGAUCUUGAAAGGACAGCCUAUACACCAGCUGGUGACCUCUCCCAGAUGCAGCUUCUCCACGAAGGAUGUCCAGCCUCCGGCACCUAAACUGCAGCUCUGCACAAGACGUUUAACCAUAGGACAAAUGGUCAUGCCCAGCUGAGCCUGGUUUCUCUCUAAGUUUUUUAAUUCUUCAUUUUCGCCAAUUGGUAAAGUUUUUUUUUUUCCUCGCCGCUGUCGCCACUGGCUUGGACUGACAUUUCAGUUUACUACAAUCUUCUAUGUGAAGCUGCUUUGACACAAUCUACAUUGUAAUAGUGCUACAGAAAUGAAGUUGAACCAAAUUACCACCUGAGUUGCUUAAGCUGCUACAACCACCAGAGCUCUUAUUGCUAGGGCUGCCACCACCACCACCAGUUCUGCCAGAUUCUCCUUCACUCUCAGAGCUGCCAGAAUCUCCUUCGCUCCUAGAGGGGCGCUCUGUCACAAGCACCAGCAAUCCAGCAACUGCGGAUCUCAAGACAACUACACACACUAUCG
RNAcentral lists this long non-coding RNA (650 nucleotides) under Danio rerio (zebrafish). Its description in RNAcentral is "lncRNA si:ch211-282f6.1 (ENSDARG00000097976.2)". Lineage: Eukaryota; Metazoa; Chordata; Actinopteri; Cypriniformes; Danionidae. The record is from RNAcentral.